UGCAAACUACUAAUGGUCCCAUGUCUC
This 27-nucleotide non-coding RNA is filed under the name Mus musculus (house mouse). The record is from RNAcentral. Lineage: Eukaryota; Metazoa; Chordata; Mammalia; Rodentia; Muridae.